GAUGAACGCUGGCGGCGUGCCUAAUACAUGCAAGUCGAGCGAACAGACGAGGAUCUUGCUCCUUCUACGUUAGCGGCUGACGGGUGAGUAACACGUAGGUAACCUACCUAUAAGACUGGGAUAACUUCGGGAAACCGGAGCUAAUACCGGAUAAUAUUUCGAACCGCAUGGUUCGAUAGUGAAAGAUGUCUUUUCUAUCCCUUAUAGAUGGACCUGCGCCGUAUUAUCUAGUUGGUAAGGUAACGGCUUACCAAGGCAACGAUACGUAGCCGACCGGAGAGGGUGAGCGGCAAGACUGGAACUGAGACACGGAACAGACGACGAAGGGAGGAAGCAGUAGGGAAUAUGCCGCAAUGGGCGAAAGCAUGACGGAGAAAAGCAGCGGGAGUGAAGAAGGGCUUCGGAUCGUAAAACGAUGUUAUGAGGGAAGAACAAAAGAGUAAGUAACUGUGCACGUCUUGACGGUAACUAAGCAGAAAGCCACGGCUAACUACGUG
Molecule: ribosomal RNA, 497 nt
Filed under: uncultured bacterium
Lineage: Bacteria
Description: partial 16S ribosomal RNA
Rfam family: Bacterial small subunit ribosomal RNA
Source: RNAcentral